UACAGAGGGUGCAAGCGUUAAUCGGAAUUACUGGGCGUAAAGCGUGCGCAGGCGGUUUGUUAAGACAGGUGUGAAAUCCCCGGGCUUAACCUGGGAAUGGCGCUUGUUACUGGCAGGCUAGAGUGUGUCAGAGGGAGGUAGAAUUCCACGUGUAGCAGUGAAAUGCGUAGAGAUGUGGAGGAAUACCGAUGGCGAAGGCAGCCUCCUGGGAUAACACUGACGCUCAUGCACGAAAGCGUGGGGAGCAAACAGG
This 253-nucleotide ribosomal RNA is filed under the name uncultured bacterium. Its description in RNAcentral is "partial 16S ribosomal RNA". It matches the Rfam family "Bacterial small subunit ribosomal RNA", at positions 524 to 776 of the family's 1533-position model. The record is from RNAcentral.